UACGGGGGGGGCAAGCGUUGUUCGGAAUUACUGGGCGUAAAGGGCUCGUAGGUGGCCAACUAAGUCAGACGUGAAAUCCCUCGGCUUAACCGGGGAACUGCGUCUGAUACUGGAUGGCUAGAGUUUGGGAGAGGGAUGCGGAAUUCCAGGUGUAGCGGUGAAAUGCGUAGAUAUCAGGAAGAACACCGGUGGCGAAGGCGCUCUGCUAGGCCGCAACUGACACUGAGGGACGAAAGCUAGGGGAGCGAAUGGG
RNAcentral lists this ribosomal RNA (253 nucleotides) under uncultured bacterium. RNAcentral describes it as "partial 16S ribosomal RNA". It matches the Rfam family "Bacterial small subunit ribosomal RNA", at positions 524 to 776 of the family's 1533-position model. The record is from RNAcentral.